This 253-nucleotide ribosomal RNA is filed under the name uncultured bacterium. RNAcentral's name for it is "partial 16S ribosomal RNA". It matches the Rfam family "Bacterial small subunit ribosomal RNA", at positions 524 to 776 of the family's 1533-position model. The record is from RNAcentral.
UACGUAGGGUGCGAGCGUUAAUCGGAAUUACUGGGCGUAAAGCGUGCGCAGGCGGUUUGUCGCGUCUGCUGUGAAAACCCGAGGCUCAACCUCGGGCCUGCAGUGGGUACGGGCAGACUAGAGUGCGGUAGGGGAGAUUGGAAUUCCUGGUGUAGCGGUGAAAUGCGCAGAUAUCAGGAGGAACACCGGUGGCGAAGGCGGGUCUCUGGGCAGUAACUGACGCUGAGGAGCGAAAGCGUGGGGAGCGAACAGG